Molecule: long non-coding RNA, 1042 nt
Filed under: Mytilus galloprovincialis (Mediterranean mussel)
Lineage: Eukaryota; Metazoa; Mollusca; Bivalvia; Mytilida; Mytilidae
Source: RNAcentral
UGGCAGUUGCUAUUUGUCCGGCUAGCCGGACGAAUAGUACCAGGACUAUUUGUCCGGUCAAAACAAUGCGCAUGUCACUAUAAUAUUUAUGUGUGCGUGUUUUAUUAUCUUCAGCAGCACCAGGGGGUAGCACAUGUUUGUAAUCUUUAGUGUUAGGGCCUAAUCUUGUUACUAGUAAUUGAAAUUGUUGUUUUCUUCAUACUAGUAUAUAAUCCAAUGUGGAUAACGAAUAAUCAGAAAAAAAUCAUAUAUAUCCCUAUUUUUUUUUUAUAUAAGAAGAAAGAAGGAACUACAUGUAAAACAAACUUGGGUAGUGUUUGACUCGUGAAUUUUAAGUUAACGUAUAGGAUUUUGUCUAGCUGAAAAAGGUACAAAAUUAGUAUGUCUGUAGCUGUCAAAAAGAAUUAUAGACCCCUUGACAUAAAGUUAUCCAUAUUUUGAAUGAGAGGUGAGAGAUUUUUCUAUAAUGCCCCCCCCCCAAAAAAAAAAAAUAAAAUAAAAAGAAGUAAAAAACACUGUUUUUUUUAUUCUAUUUACGUGAGUAGGUCGGGGUGACAUAGUGUGCUCCUUUUCCCAAAUUUCUCUUUUCUUUUUUUUCUCCUGAUCCCAUCUAUGUUGUCCCGUGUAUUCAUUAUCCCACUUUUUUACCCUACUUUUUAUAAUCCUAUUUCCAUCAUCCCCACUUCAAGUUUGUAGCCCCCCCCCCCAAAAAAAACCAAAAAAAAACCACCCCCACCACCCACUUGUAAAGGCCUUUCUCAACUGCUCUUGCUUUGAACAUCUUUUCCACCAUUUACACAGCUGUAGCGAGUCGAAUAAUUUUGUAAAACUAGUUCUCCGAUCAAUUAUCUUUUAUUUCCCAUUUUCCUUGUGAUUUCAAUUUUUUGUUAGUUCCUUUUAUAAGAUUAUAUCAUUUUGGAAGUUCAUAAUAUCAUGUUCCAUUGUCAAAUUCCGCAAACUGCAAAAUUUAUCACAAAUAUUGAUAUCACCGUUUUCAGCCAUAUGAUCUUAAAAUUGAAAAUCAGUGAUCAGAUUACACGCG